Molecule: non-coding RNA, 303 nt
Organism: Pelobates cultripes (western spadefoot toad)
Lineage: Eukaryota; Metazoa; Chordata; Amphibia; Anura; Pelobatidae
Source: the annotation of a GenBank genome assembly
GUUCAGCCUUCCUCACAUACAGUUGCAAGAAAAAGUAUGUGAACCCUUUGGAAUUAUAUGGAUUUCUGCACAAAUUGGUCAUAAAAUGUGAUCUGAUCAUCAUCUAAGUCACAACAAUAGACAAUCACAGUCUGCUUAAACUAAUAACACACAAAGAAUGAAAUGUUGCCAUGUUUUUAUUGAACACACCAUGUAAACAUGGUGUGUGUGUGUGGUCUUACCAGCGAUUUAUAAAGAGGCAAAAUUAUAUUUUCAUCUUGAGAAUGUAUGCCCCUAUUUAUACAUGACAAAACCUUACUGGCC